ACCUUUUUUACUCACGAUGACUUGUAUUAUAUGUGCCAUUUUCAACCAAAAGGGUACUUAUUGUCGAUUGUCAAUAAGGCGCUAUUUCCAUAUAGCUUCAAUUCGAAAUCAACCUUAUCGACGAGCGACAAUGUGGUACCUUUUGGGUUGAAAACGUCACAUAUUAUCCGAAUGUCCUGUCAUCAGUCAUCACCUAUCUCCACAUGUUAUAUGAUGAUCCUUCACAGACCUGUUCUGAAUAUUUUUGAGGAAAAUUUAAUUUAAUAUCUGAUUUAUUUUACUAAAUUUUAUUUUUCUCUAGCGUUUUUGGACGCGUAUAGAUGAAAUUGUUUUAUUUUUCACAGGUAUUCAUUCUCCCACAACGGAUACAUGUUGCUGAUGCAUCAGGUGUUGACUGACUAAAAUAGCUGGAUCAUUUUGUACACAACAGAAAAUGUGUUGACUGACUAAAAUAGCUGGAUCAUUUUGUACACAACAGAAAAUGUGUUGACUGACUAAAAUCGCUGGAUCGCUUUGUCCACAACAGAAAAUACUUCAUCGUGCAUCACAGACGACGCAUUCGCAGCAUUUGUAAUCGACUUUUUUACACGAGGUACUGAAUACGAGUCUGCGAACUGCGAAGCUCAAUUUAAAAGGAAUAUGAUAGUAUAGAAUAUAGAUAAAUAUGAUAUGAAUUUUACAUUAAAUAAACAAAUUAAAC
Molecule: long non-coding RNA, 700 nt
Organism: Cydia strobilella
Lineage: Eukaryota; Metazoa; Arthropoda; Insecta; Lepidoptera; Tortricidae
Exons: 6
Source: RefSeq, a predicted model, not a curated record